This 1885-nucleotide long non-coding RNA is filed under the name Salvia miltiorrhiza (redroot sage). RNAcentral's name for it is "long non-coding RNA (SMIL_LNC009251)". The record is from RNAcentral. Lineage: Eukaryota; Viridiplantae; Streptophyta; Magnoliopsida; Lamiales; Lamiaceae.
CGCUAAUUUAAUAUUAUCUCGUAACUCGUAAGCGUAUCCCUAGAGAUUUUGACUAAGUAAAACUAUCACACACCCAAACUAUCUAUCUAUACUUAUAUUAAAGCACAAGUUUUGCCAAAUUUUUUUCCCGCCAAAGCCUACCUAUUUUUAUCCACUGUACAAUGUUGCUGUUUAUUGCCUUAUGGGCCUUGGAGAAACCUGUCUGUUUUGGCUCCAAAAAGUGCAGCCCAAAUUCAAAUUUCAAAUUUUUGGAGCCCAAAUUAAUUGCUGAUAACAGUGAGUGUAUUUCUAUAAAUAGGGCCUCAGAUUAUUUUAGACAGCAUUUUCCAAUUGCAAACUUUCUCUCUCUGAUCCUUUUUUUUCAACUGCUUUUUAUGCUAUUUUAUUUUUACUGUUUUUAUGUGGUAUUUUUGUUUAGCUUUUUAUUCUGAUCCUUUUAUGCUUUUUAUUUUGUUUAGCUUUUUGCUGUUUAUUAGUAUUAGUUUCAAUUACAACUAUGAUACAAAUCUAUACAGUUAUUUCUACUUUAUACAUAAAGUCUAAAAAUGUAGCUAAUAUUUCUGAAUUUUCGCUGCAGAUCAAGACUUUUCGCCAGAUCAAGACUGAAUCUUCAACACUCAUAUCUGCAAAAGCCACAAAAAAAUGGUUUUAGUGUGUAUUCAAAGAUUUACAGCAAGUUAGCAUAGAAAUUUCAUAUUAUAUUAUUUUUGUAUGAGAAAUUAUAUAUGUUGAAAUAUGAUAAUAUUAUGUAUCUCAGUUGUGAAGAUGGCAAAAAGCAAACAAAACAAAUUUCCUGCAUCUUCUAUGAAACACGAAAAGCAAGAGCAAAUAGCUCAACAUGGAGAGGUUGAAUUCAUGAAUAGCAUCUUCAAAAAUCUGAAUACAAAAUAUUUCAAUAAAUAAACGACGGUGGAAAAGAGGAACUAACCGUCUCUGGUUGGAGCUGGAGCAGGAGCAGGGGCGAAAGCGCCGUGGCCCUGGCCUUGAACAGCAGGCAUGAAGAUUGCGAAAACAAGGGCAAAUGCAGCAAAAAUGCAUUUGUAGAUAUUCAGAGAUCUACCAAAAUGAAAAUGAAAAUGAAAAACAAGACAAAGCAGAUAUCUAAAAAUCAACAAGUACCAGUUUCAUGUGUAGAUAUUCAGAGAUCUAUCAAAAUGAAAAUUUGAAAAACGAGAAACUAAGAAUGCGAAAAAAAUAAAAGAUGUCUAGUAUAGGAAAAAAAGAAAGAGAAGCACUAUCAUUAGAAAAACUCUAAAGUCGUUCUCAAAUAAAAUUUGUGGCUAGGGUUUUUAAUGAACAAAAACAUUGGAGCAGAUGCAGACGAAAUUUUUUGGCUAUCGUUUAAAUGAACAAAAAUGAUACUUCAGCAAGAAAAAUUAAACAUAGAGAAAUUUAAAAAAAUUAAAAAUUAAAAAACGAAAAACUAACAAACGAAAAAAAAUAGAUCUUAGAAAGUAUAAAAAAGAAAAAUAAUCUGCAAGAAAAAAUUUCAUAUGGAGAACGCUAGAAUUAAAGAUGCAGACGAGGGAGGAGGCCGAGAUCUGGAGGCUAGGGCUUGGGCGACGCCGUAGUUUGAAACCCGGACGGCGACUGGAUACGGGCUGUGCAGAGGGAGGCAGCGGCGCAUUUAUCGUCUUCGAGGAGGGAGGCGACGCCGUGUGGAACGGCGUCAGUGCUUAGAUGUGAGGGCGGAGUUGGUGGUUUAGGGAUCUAGGGAUUUUGGGCGGCGGCUUUGCGGUGAUAUGGUUGCAGGUUUUUCGCCGACAGAGGGUGAGGCAGAGGGAGAGAGAAGACGGUGGAGAACAUCGGCGACCGUGGCUUCUCGCCGGCAGCGGCGCAUGUAGAAGAAAGAGGAAGGUUUGGACUAGGAGAAGAAAGGAGAGAG